GACGAACGCUGGCGGCGUGCUUAACACAUGCAAGUCGAACGGAAAGGCCCUGCUUUUGUGGGGUGCUCGAGUUGCGAACGGGUGAGUAACACGUGAGUAACCUGCCAUUGACUUUGGGAUAACUUCAGGAAACUGGGGCUAAUACCGGAUAGGAGCUACUGCUGCAUGGUGGGGGUUGGAAAGUUUCGGCGGUUGGGGAUGGACUCGCGGCUUAUCAGCUUGUUGCUGUGGUAGUGGCUUACCAAGGCUUUGACGGGUAGCCUGCCUGCGAGGGUGACCGGCCACAUUGGGACUGAGAUACGGCCCAGACUCCUACGGGAGGCAGCAGUGGGGAAUAUUGCACAAUGGGCGGAAGCCAGAUGCAGCAACGCCGCGUGCGGGAUGACGGCCUGCGGGUUGUAAACCGAUGUCGCCUGUGACGAAGCGUGAGUGACGGUAAUGGGUAAAGAAGCACCGGCUAACUACGUG
Molecule: ribosomal RNA, 468 nt
Filed under: uncultured bacterium
Lineage: Bacteria
Description: partial 16S ribosomal RNA
Rfam family: Bacterial small subunit ribosomal RNA
Source: RNAcentral